Molecule: ribosomal RNA, 256 nt
Filed under: uncultured bacterium
Lineage: Bacteria
Description: partial 16S ribosomal RNA
Rfam family: Bacterial small subunit ribosomal RNA
Source: RNAcentral
UACAGAGGGUGCAAGCGUUGUUCGGAAUUAUUGGGCGUAAAGGGCGCGUAGGCGGUGCCACAAGUCACCUGUGAAAUCUCCGGGCUUAACUCGGAGCCUGCAGGCGAAACUGUGGUGCUGGAGUGUGGGAGAGGUGCGUGGAAUUCCCGGUGUAGCGGUGGAAAUGCGUAGAUAUCGGGGAGGAACACCUGUAGCGAAAGCGGCGCACUGGACCAUAACUGACGCUGAUGCGCGAAAGCCUAGGGGAGCAAACAGG